Molecule: long non-coding RNA, 4447 nt
Filed under: Sus scrofa (pig)
Lineage: Eukaryota; Metazoa; Chordata; Mammalia; Artiodactyla; Suidae
Description: lncRNA (ENSSSCG00055008689.1)
Source: RNAcentral
CAGGAAACUAUAUUCAAUAUCCAAUGAACUAAAAUGGAAAAGAAUAUAAAAAAGAAUGUAUAUGUAUGUAUAACUGAAUCACUUUGGUGUACAGCAGAAAUUAACACAACAGUGUAAAUCAUCUGUCCUUCAAUUAAAAAAAAAAGAAAAAAUCUGUUUACAUUACUAAUAUUUUAACAUUCUUCUCUUGAUUAAAUAUAAUUGCCUUUUAAAAGUUGCCUGUUCUUGAUUAAAUUUUUAAAACUUUUAAUUGAAAUAUAAUGCAUAUCUUGAAAGGACAUAAAGUGUAUUACUUGAUGAAUUAAAGUAAGUUGAAUACAUUCAUGCAACCCCCUAGCUCAAAACACAGAAUAUUACUAGCAUCUCCAGAACCACCCCUUCCCCCCCAUUAUGCAUCCAUGCAAUACAUACAGGUCUUACCAAUGAAAGGUAAUCAUUUUUUUCCAAAGGUAACUACUAUCCUGGUUCUUAACACCACAGACUGUGUUGCCUGUUUUUGACAUUCUUAAAAAUAAAAACAUAUAAUAUAUAUUCUUUUUUUGUCUGGAACCCUUUGCCUAACAUUAUAUUUUUGAGAUUCAAGUGUAUUGGUGCAUACAGCUAUAGAUUUUUCAGAUGUAUUACUGUAUGGUAUUCAGUUGUAUGCAGAGAACAUGGUUUAUUUAUUCAUUAUAAUGUUGAAAUGAAUUUAGUUUGCUUGAACUUCAAGAUUAGUGUAGUUAAAGGUAUAACUUUUUUAUCAGUCUUUUUGAGAUCCAGUUCUUGGAUUUGUUAAUAUAUAAUUUGUUUAGUCUACUGGUUUUAUGCUAAGAUCUUCUCUUAUCUUUAGUAAUUCAUUUUUUUCUUCUUCCUUGCAAUUCUUCUCCCUAAACUUAGGUUAAGCACUUAAUUCAUUUGCUUUCAUUUGAUGAAGUUUUGUAUGCUUGUCUCAAGUGUGCUUUUUUUGUGAGAUAAAUUCUAAUUCUGUCAGCAGGCAAAGCUUGGGUUUAUUUUUCUGAAUACGACUAGAUUGUUUUUAAAUAUUAGUUUAUGGUGUUGUGAAUUUUCAUCUUUUUCUUUCUUCAUAUUCAUUUUAAUGAGGGGUUUGGAGAGGUUCCACAAUUGCUACCACCAAACAUCCAUGAAGUGUUCAGUACAGAUUUUGCUGUACUGAAAAUUUGCUGGCUGCAUCCAUCCUCCUGUUCAUCUAUCCGUGCAUCCUCCUACCCAUCUUCCCAUCCAUCUAUGCAUCCUCUAACCUAUCCUCCCAUCUAUCUUUUCAUCCAUCCAAGCAUCCUCCUACAUAUUCUUCUAUCCAUCCUCCAGCCAUUCUCCCAUUCAUGCAUUCAUCCAUCAUCCGUCCAUCUAUCCAUCCAUCCAUCAUUAUUAUUUAUGAGGAACAGCACAAGGUGCUGGAAGAACUUAGGUGAACAAGGUAGGUUUUCUUAAGGAUAAGAAGUAGCCACUGAAGGAAUUAAGUAGGGACUGACAAGGCCAAUGUACAUUUUAGAGACACAAUUCUGACUGUAAUAUGGAGGACGAAUUUAAGUUGAGUGAAUUAGAGUUUAGAAUCAGGUUUUCAGAGGAGUGGGUGACUUUCAGGUGCUUGCUGCUCAUUAGGAGUUGCUGGGAUACUGCAGUCCCAUAUCCCAGCCCAGAAGGGGACGCCUUCAAUUACAUUAAGGCUUCAUCAUGCACAAGACCUGAAUUUUUGGCAUGCAACUUGAAAACUGUGUUCUCAAAGAUGAGGCCUCCAAUUUUUUUUAAAAAAAAAUUCUUAUUCUGGCCUUUAAUAAAAAUCAUUAGAAAUCAUUACUAUUCUAACUAGAGGCAAGUAAUGAAGUUUUGAAAUUUCCAGGAUUGCUUUAAGCUUAAUCUGAGCAUUAAACUAUUUAUUGCCUUUUUUCUGUGACAUUUUAAAUACUAAUGGAGGAUUCAUAACUCUUUUUUAGAAUCCAAAUUAUAUUUUAUAGGAAAUAAUUUAAAGUCUUUGAGCCAGUUAGCUCCUCCAAAGUGUAAAGAGUUUUAUCUAGAUAAUUCAAAGCCAGUUUAAAAAAAAAAGGAACUAUGAUGUAAUAGGGCUAAUUCCAGUAAGCCAUCCAGGAAGAUUAAUCUUAUUAAUUUAAUGCUAUAUCAUAUAACUUAAUCUUUAAAAACAUCUUUUGGAAAUAAAGACACCAAACACACGACCCCUGGUCAAAGCUGGAACAUUUGGCAGUGAUUUGAGAGGGGAUUAGGGGACACAUAAUUUGAAUAGCUGUCCUGGCGUGUAUGCUGGAUUAAGGAGCAAUAUGGUGUUUAGGUUUCUGAAACUGCAUGUUCUAUAGACUUGUACUGAUACCCGGACCCAUGAGAAGUAAAAGAAGCUGCCUGUGUGCUGUACAAGGUUAAGAAAAUGACAGAAGUGACUUAAUUUUAUUAUCAUUAUUAUUAUUUUUGUCUUGUCUUUUUAGGGCCACACCCAUGGCAUAUGGAGCUUCCCAGGCUAGGGGUCCAAUCAGAGCUAUAGCCGCCGGCCCACACGCCAGAGCCACAGCAAUGCAGGAUCCGAGCAGUGUCUGUGACCUACACCACAGCUCACGGCAACACCGGAUCCUUAACCCACUGAGUGAGGCCAGAGAUCCAACCCACAACCUCAUUGUUCCUAGUCGGAUUUGUUUCCACUGUGCCAUGAGGGGAACUCCAGAAGUGACUUGAAAGUGGAGUUGGUGAUUCAGCAAAGCUUUGAGUCAGUCCUUACCACAGGUCUGGUACGGCUGUUGCAAGCCCUGGGCUAUUAAAAGGGGUUAGAUUGAACUGAAGGGGAAAGGGAGGAGGAGGGAUAUACUAGGAGUUUAGUAUAUACACACCCCUAUAUGUAAAAUAGGUAAACAACAAGGACCUACUGUAUAGCACAGGGAACUAUAUUCAAUUAAUAUCUUGUAAUAACCUAUAAUGGAAAAGAAUCUGAAAAAGAAUAUAUACAUAUAUGUAUAAAUUUACUAUACAUCUGAAACUAACACAACAUUGUAAAUGUACUAUAUUUUAAUGAAAAUCUUUUUAAAAGGGGGGAGCUUGAUUAUAAGCAUGGGUAUCCUUGGUCUUAGUUCUGGAUUUCCUUUUCUGUAUAUUAUUUCCACAGAGUUAACUGAAAUGAGCUAUGAAGGUUGGUAUUUGUAAACCCAAGCAACCCUAGUUUUCCCUCCCUCACUGGCUAACACAUUUAGUUGCCAUAUUGUUAAAUUGUUUUCUCACCUUGAUUAAGAAGAGAAUGGUGGUCACUAGCUGGAAACAUGCAUAGAUAUUGCUCUUGGAGUGAGACCGGUGAGGUGGGGGUAAGGGAAGAAUGGGGACAUGGGAGGCAGAGGGAAAGAAAGGGGAAGAAAAAUGGUCAGCUAACUUAAAUACAUCUAAAAAGCUAUUUGUGUUCCUUAGGUGAAGUCUAUUAAAACAAAGGAAGGGAUUGUUACCCAGCAUCUUGUCGAGCAAGUAUGAUAAUCGGAAAAAAGUAAGUGAUUUAUUAGUCUGCGCUUUUAUAAUCAGAGUUCAAAAAGCUUAUCCUUUUCUACAAUAUGUGGUCUUAAUAAGAAUUAUAAGUCAGACAGUGAAAGACAAACAUAUGAUAUCACUUAUAUGUGGAAUCUUAAAAAAAAAAUAAGCAUACAAAUGAACUUAACUGUAGAACAAAAACAGACUCACAGACUUUGAAAACAAAUUUAUGGUUUCCAAAGGGGACGUGUGUGCUGGGGAAGAAUGGACUGGGGAUUGGGACUGGCAUAUGCACUGUGGAAUGUGGAAUGACUAUCCAGUGGGGACCUGCUAUAUAGCACAGGCUUGUCUACCCAAUAUUCUGUGAUAAUCUAUAUGAGAAAAGAAUCUGGAAAAGAAUGGAUGUGUAUAUGUAUAACUGAAUCACUAUGUUGUACAGCAGAUAUUAUCACAAUAUUGUAAAUCAACUACAAUAAAAAUUUUAAAAAUGAAAAAAAGAACUAUAAGUCAGAUGAAUUGUUCACUGCUUUUCCAAAGGUCAUGAAGAAAUUAUAAAAUCAAGACAAAAAGCACUGGCAAAUUACAGUCAUUAGCAGAAGGAGAAUAUUGGAGUUCUCAGAGUAAUUUAUAACACCCCAGCAAGGGGAUUUUUAUCAUCUUUUAGAUUGCUGAGUUCCAAUAUGUUCCAGUAGAGGGGGGUAGAGGGUCAACUCAUUUGACUUGGGCUCAAAAAAUCCAACUUAAAAACAAGUUAAAAUAAAAAAUUGUAGGAGUUCCUGUUGUGGCUCAGUGGGUUACGAACGUGACUAGUAUCCAUGAGGAUGCAGGUUCAACCCCUGGCCUCGCUCAGUGGGUUAAGGAUCCAGAGUUUCUGUGAGCUGUGUUGUGGGUUGCAGAUGCAGCUUGGAUCCAGAGUUGCUGUGGCUGUGGCUGUGGCAGGCAGAUACAGAUCUGAUUUGACCCCUAGCCUGGAAAUUUCCAUAUGCCCCAGGUACAGCCC